RNAcentral lists this long non-coding RNA (2583 nucleotides) under Homo sapiens (human). Its description in RNAcentral is "HSALNT0391049". Lineage: Eukaryota; Metazoa; Chordata; Mammalia; Primates; Hominidae. The record is from RNAcentral.
GUCACAACGUCUGUCUCCUCUAUCUCUCAACAGAGAGUGAAUUAGGUAUGAACCUCAUUAGGUAUGAACCCUUCUAGUCCAUUUUUGAUAAUUUACUGUUAGUAUGUGUUUUCGAAUUUAUCUAAAUGCUUCCAUACUGUAUAUAUCAUUCAGCAGCUCCCUCAAACCCUUUUUUUUUUAGACAGAAUCUCGCUCUGUCUCCCAGGCUGGAGUGCAGUGGCAUGAUCUCAACUAACUGCAAUCUCUACCUCCCAAGUUCAAGCGAUUCUCUCACCUCAGCCUCCCAAGUAGCAGAGACUGCAGGCGCGCACCACCACACCCAGCUAAUUUUUUGUACUUUUAGUAGAGACAGGGUUUUGCUGUGUUGGCCAGACUGGUCUCAAACUCAUGACCUCAAGUGAUCCGCCUGCCUCGGCCUCCCAAAGUGCUGGGAUUACAGGUGUGAGCCACAGCACCUGGCCCCUGCUUUUUUUUUAACUACACUUUUUUGUUUUUGUCUUUUUUUUUUUUUUGAGAUCACGUCUCACUCUGUCACCCAGGCUGGAGUGCAGUGGCGCAAUCUCCACUCACUGCAACCACCACCUCCCAGGUUCAAGAAAUUCUCAUGCCUCAGCCUCCUGAGUAGCUGGUAUUACAGGUGUGCGCCACUGUGCCCAGCUAAUUUUUGUAUUUUUAGUAAAGAUGGGAUUUCACCAUGUUGGCCAGGCUGGUCUCGAAUUCCUGGCCUCAAGUGAUCCACCUUCCUCGGCCUCCCAAAGUGCUGGGAUUACAGGCAUGAGCCACUGCACCUGGCCAGAACUACACUUUUGAGAACUAUCCAUGUUGGUAUUUACAGAGCUAGGCCAUUUGUUUUAACUGUUGUAUAGUAUGUUUUAUUAUAUCUUAUUUUAUUUAUUUGUUCUCCUAUUAAUGAAUAUUUUUAUAAUUCCAAUUUUCCACUAUUAUAAACAAUGCUGCAAUAAAAAUCUCUAUACCUUUCUCCUGAUGUAUGAGUGUUUCUCCACCAUCUAUACACAGAAGAGAAAUUGCUGAUCAUGGGGUUUGUGCAUUUAAACUUUACUAGAUAUUACCAGAUUGACAUUCAUCCAUAGACCCUGGUAAGUAGUUCUACAGACUCCCACAAACAGUAGGUGUAAAUUCUCAUUUCCUUGUUCCGUGUUCAACAUUUUAUAUUGUCAGAGUUUGUGGUUUUUGAAAAUGUGAUGAUUAUAAAAUGGUAUGCAACUCAUGUUAUUAAACAUUAAUAUAAUUUUGGAGUAGAUAAUACAUGCACACAGUAUAAAAUUCAGAAGCUACAGGAGCAUAUACAAUGGAAAGCAAGUCCUCCCUCAGCCCCUGCCCUCUAGCCCCUGUCUUAGUUCGUUUGUGCAAAAUACCAUAGACCGGGUAAUUCACAAACAAUAGAAAUUUAUUUCUCAUGGUUCUGGAGGCUGGGAAGUCCCAGAUCAAGGCAUAAGCAGGUUUGGCAUCUGAUAAGGGUUUGAUCUCUGCUUCCAAGCUGGUGCCUUGUUGCUGCAUCCUCUGGAGAGGAGGAACAGUGUGUCCUCGUGUGAGACAGAGACAGAGGGCAAGAAAGGGUCAAGCUCUGUGUGAAGCCUCUUUUAUAAAGACCUUAAUCCCAUUCAUGAGGGAAGAACCCUCAUGACCUGAUUACCUCCUAAAAGUCCCCAUGCCUUUAAAGUCACCACGAUAAGGAUCAAGUUUCAACAUGAAAUUUGGAGGGAACACCAUCAUUCAAACCAUAACCACCACUUAGUUCUCUGUUCUGUUGUCUGUUUCUUGUGUGCUCUUCAGAUACAUUUUAUGCAGUUACAUGUGUGUAGUAAAACAUUAAACUUUUUCUAUCCCAUUUCUUUCGUCUCAGUAGAUUAUACAGCUUUAUAGAUUCAAUGUUAAUUGUUUUCAUUUCAUACAUGAACUCUAUUUUCUUAGAUCCAACAAGCACAGGUUUGGGUGACUACUUGGAAAAAGCUCACAAUCCCUAAAGUCAAGAACCAUCAAUUCCAAAGGUACCAUUGCAACUGCUCUAAGGGACUUAGGGGACCUCUACCUCAAGUUUCACUCUCCUAGAAUUUCCAGUGGAAGCUUGCAGACUAGGUCCUUUUAUCUGCUAUGGUACAGUCAGAAAAACAGAUACCCCUCUAGGUAUCUCAGAUAGAAGGAGGCUUAUACAGGGAAUUAGAGGCUUAAAUAACUCUAGGAAAGCUGCAAGAGUGAUAGUGAUCGGGACACCUCUUUCAGGAAAUCUGGUAGUGCAGGAAUCACAAGGAAGCCACUGCCAUUGCUCUCAGCUGCCUGUAGAGCCAGUUGGAGUAUUUUCAGGAGAACACCCAAAAGUUUUAGGCAAAAUUCCAUGUCAGCCAUCUGCUGCUGCCUCAAGAAAACAAUGGCUUCUCCUUUUCUUCCCAACCAAAUCUCAUGCAAGUGCCUCUCAUUGGUGGAGUCCGGGCUGAAUACUGUUGGCAAGAUCAGGGAAAUGUAGUUUCCAAGUUUGUCGUCCUGUAGAAAAAGACAAGAGUCCAGAAAGGCAGAUGUGGUACUGAGUACCCACAAAUGGCAACUGGCAGGGUUCCCAGUAACAAU